CUUUUAUGAUGUAUCAUGCACAUGUCUUACGUCCUGUGUCAACACCAGAACCUGAAAAGGUGAACCCACUGGUGCUGCCUGGGCAAUAAGGGGAUGACUUGUUGGUUUCCAACUGUCUGAAAAGG
Small nucleolar RNA from Puntigrus tetrazona (Sumatra barb), 125 nucleotides. RefSeq annotates it as small nucleolar RNA SNORD22. NCBI's taxonomy places the organism in Eukaryota, Metazoa, Chordata, Actinopteri, Cypriniformes, Cyprinidae. The transcript has a single exon. The record is from RefSeq and is a predicted model, not a curated record.